GAAAGGCGAUAAGUAAUGUGAAUUGCAGAAUUCAGUGAAUCAUCGAAUCUUUGAACGCACCUUGCGCUCCUUGGUAUUCCUUGGAGCAUGCCUGUUUGAGUAUCAUGAAAUCUUCAAAGUAAAUCUUUUGUUAACUCAAUUGGUUUCUACUUUGGUAUUGGAGGUCUUUGCAGCUUCACACCUGCUCCCCUUUGUUCAUUAGCUGGAUCUCAGUGUUAUGCUUGGUUCCACUCGGCGUGAUAAGUUAUCUAUCGCUGAGGACACUGUAAAAGGUGGCCAAGGUAAAUGCAGAUGAACCGCUUCUAAUAGUCCAUUGACUUGGACAAUACUUUUAUGAUCUGAUCUCAAAUCAGGUAGGACUACCCGCUGAACUUAAGC
This 378-nucleotide unclassified non-coding RNA is filed under the name plant metagenome. Its description in RNAcentral is "partial contains 5.8S ribosomal RNA, internal transcribed spacer 2, and large subunit ribosomal RNA". The stretch from base 1 to 105 matches the Rfam family "5.8S ribosomal RNA", at positions 50 to 154 of the family's 154-position model. The record is from RNAcentral.